RNAcentral lists this ribosomal RNA (388 nucleotides) under uncultured bacterium. RNAcentral's name for it is "bacterial SSU rRNA". It matches the Rfam family "Bacterial small subunit ribosomal RNA", at positions 28 to 417 of the family's 1533-position model. The record is from RNAcentral.
GACGAACGCUGGCGGCGUGCUUAACACAUGCAAGUCGAGCGGUAAGGCCCUUUCGGGGGUACACGAGCGGCGAACGGGUGAGUAACACGUGGGUGACCUGCCCUCAGCUCUGGGACAAGCCUGGGAAACUGGGUCUAAUACUGGAUAUGACUCCACGGUGCAUGUCGUGGGGUGGAAAGCCUUGUGCGGCUGAGGAUGGGCCCGCGGCCUAUCAGCUUGUUGGUGGGGUGAUGGCCUACCAAGGCGACGACGGGUAGCCGGCCUGAGAGGGCGACCGGCCACACUGGGACUGAGACACGGCCCAGACUCCUACGGGAGGCAGCAGUGGGGAAUCUUGCGCAAUGGGCGAAAGCCUGACGCAGCGACGCCGCGUGAGGGAUGACGGCCU